RNAcentral lists this ribosomal RNA (301 nucleotides) under uncultured bacterium. RNAcentral describes it as "partial 16S ribosomal RNA". It matches the Rfam family "Bacterial small subunit ribosomal RNA", at positions 509 to 807 of the family's 1533-position model. The record is from RNAcentral.
CAGUCGCCGCGGGAAUACGUAGGGUGCAAGCGUUGUCCGGAAUUAUUGGGCGUAAAGAGCUCGUAGGCGGUUUGUCGCGUCUGCUGUGAAAUCUGGGGGCUCAACCCCCAGCCUGCAGUGGGUACGGGCAGACUAGAGUGCGGUAGGGGAGAUUGGAAUUCCUGGUGUAGCGGUGGAAUGCGCAGAUAUCAGGAGGAACACCGAUGGCGAAGGCAGAUCUCUGGGCCGUAACUGACGCUGAGGAGCGAAAGCAUGGGGAGCGAACAGGAUUAGAUACCCGCGUAGUCCCUGUCUCUUAUAC